GCUUUCUCACAUGGAGAAAGUCUCUGUGAUUAGGACAUGGACGUAUCUGAGUGAUGAGUAUGCUGUAAAUCCCUUCCAUACAUUCAUUCACCAGUGGUUGGUCAUAUACACACAAGAAAAGCCAAGAUAAUUUAUAAGACUUUUAGAGUUAAUAAUGAAAUUUAAAAGUAUGAUUCAAGUUUUUUUUUCGUGUAUGUGCAUAGUUCAGGCACAAAGAGGUGAAAAAUAUAAUUUUAAACAAGUUUCACAACUUAACAAAAACCAAACUAUACAGUAUGUUGCAAGUAAAUCUACCAAGGUCCAUGUAUGCACCUGCAGUCCUAGUAUCUGGGUGGCUAAAGCAGAAGCCCACCAUGAUUGUAAAGGCAGCCUGGGCUUUAUAGAAAAAUCUUGUCUCCAAAACCAAAAACCAAACCACCAUGUAAUGAACAGUUUCACAUAAUUACGAGGGAAAUUGGAGGGCCAGGGAGUUGACUCACUGGGUGUUUGUUGCCAAGCGUAAUGACUUGAGUUCGAUCCCUGGAACACAUGGUGAAACAGAAAACAAACUUAAUUCAAUUUGACAUUUGACGUCCAUGCACCCAAAAAAAAAAUAGGAGUUUAAAAAAAAGAUGUUUUUAUUUGUGAAAAGCAAUGAACUUCUAAUGUCUAGUUUGGUGUAUAGGGACCUUGGAAGUUAUCACUUAGUCCUAAUAAUUAGAAACGAAAAAGUUAGCACUGCUUGUGUUUGUCAAAGGAGUGUUGUCACAAGGCACUCAUUAUUUUUGCUGCAAAAGAUGGAAUCAAUCAGUAAGUGUAGUUUGAGUGCCAGGCACCACCUCAUCUUUGGAAUAAGACAGACGAUUUUUUUCCACCCGUGUUUUAGUGUCAGUAUCAAGAGCUGCAUUUAUCCAGUUCUGUUUGAUGCCAGGACAACACUGAAGAAUGUGUAAUAGGAACUAGAUUAAAUCAGUAGUCCGUAAGUUUGGAAUCUUCGGCGCCCAACAGACCUGGGUUUCUGUUCUCCUCCUGGAAUGUGUGAUGGUGAGCCCAUCACCCAAGCUCUCGGAAACUGGGUUUUGUCAUCUGCAAAAUGGAAAUAAUAACCUAUGAUCCUGUGGUAAGGCACUGAGCACGUGCAUAGUGUGUCACCUGGCAUGUGUCUGUCAUGAGGGCUGAUGCAAUCUAAAGCCACAUCACUCCAUUGUAAUAGUGGGUUUUACCUGGAUACCGUGGUAAGGAAGCAAUGGUCCGGUUUCAUGCAACUGUAGGACCGUAUCUCCCGCUUCUGUUUUAGGACUUGGCUAUGGAAUAGAAGAAAGGUUAAAAAUGCUCCAGAACGCUGAAGCAGAGCAGACAUUUAGCCUGUGGCAAAAGCCACUUUCUACCCCUUUUACUUCCGUUACUCAUCAGGUAGACACGGGGUUUCUUUGUUUGACUUUCUGCUUUUCUCGCUUGUUUUCUGAUUCUGCUAUGCCCUGUGUUUUCUCCUUUGCCAUUUGACCAUUGCUCGCCCACGUAAA
RNAcentral lists this long non-coding RNA (1502 nucleotides) under Rattus norvegicus (Norway rat). Its description in RNAcentral is "long non-coding RNA NONRATT011153". Lineage: Eukaryota; Metazoa; Chordata; Mammalia; Rodentia; Muridae. The record is from RNAcentral.